UAAUCAUAAGUUAAAUGCAUUUUAAAUUCUUAUUGCUAUAGUUUUCUAGUACAAAAGAGAAGAUAGGAGUAUUGUUUAUUUCAUCAACUACAAACACACAAGCACAUACAAUUAAAACAUCAUAAAGAGACAUUCACUAAAACAUGCACCAAAACCACCAAUCUUCAAGUGCACAUCCCAUUGUUUAUUAUCUCUUUUCUGCAAGAAACCAAUCAAGUUCACAACAUUACACAUAAACUUGGCCCAAAUAGUUCCCAUAACAGAUAAAUUUAACUGCUUUAAAAUCUUUAUUAAUCGGGCACGAAAUGACACACCUUGUCUCUUAAGAUGAUGACGAACUCAACAGAUCUUGAAUAUCUU
Molecule: long non-coding RNA, 360 nt
Filed under: Helianthus annuus (common sunflower)
Lineage: Eukaryota; Viridiplantae; Streptophyta; Magnoliopsida; Asterales; Asteraceae
Description: hypothetical non coding rna
Source: RNAcentral